Molecule: ribosomal RNA, 253 nt
Filed under: uncultured bacterium
Lineage: Bacteria
Description: partial 16S ribosomal RNA
Rfam family: Bacterial small subunit ribosomal RNA
Source: RNAcentral
UACAGGGGGUGCAAACGUUGCUCGGAAUCAUUGGGCGUAAAGAGCUCGUAGGCGGUUUGUCGCGUCGAAUGUGAAAACCCGGGGCUCAACCCCGGGCCUGCAUUCGAUACGGGCAGACUAGAGUUCGGUAGGGGAGUCUGGAAUUCCUGGUGUAGCGGUGAAAUGCGCAGAUAUCAGGAGGAACACCGGUGGCGAAGGCGGGACUCUGGGCCGAUACUGACGCUGAGAAGCGAAAGCGUGGGGAGCGAACAGG